GACGAGGGGUCCUAGCGUUGUUCGGAAUCACUGGGCGUAAAGCGUUCGUAGGCGGCUCUAUAAGUCGGGUGUGAAAUCCCACGGCUCAACCGUGGAAGUGCAUUCGAAACUGCAGAGCUUGAAUAUGGUAGAGGGUAGUAGAAUUCCUGGUGUAGUGGUGAAAUACGUAGAUAUCAGGAGGAAUACCGGUGGCGAAGGCGGCUACCUGGACCAAUAUUGACGCUGAGGAGCGAAAGCGUGGGGAGCGAACAGG
RNAcentral lists this ribosomal RNA (253 nucleotides) under uncultured bacterium. Its description in RNAcentral is "partial 16S ribosomal RNA". It matches the Rfam family "Bacterial small subunit ribosomal RNA", at positions 524 to 776 of the family's 1533-position model. The record is from RNAcentral.